RNAcentral lists this ribosomal RNA (252 nucleotides) under uncultured bacterium. RNAcentral's name for it is "partial 16S ribosomal RNA". It matches the Rfam family "Bacterial small subunit ribosomal RNA", at positions 524 to 776 of the family's 1533-position model. The record is from RNAcentral.
UACGUAGGGUGCAAGCGUUGUCCGGAAUUAUUGGGCGUAAAGAGCUCGUAGGCGGCUUGUCGCGUCGGCUGUGAAAACCUGGGGCUCAACCCCGGGCCUGCAGCCGAUACGGGCAAGCUAGAAUUCGGUAGGGGAGACUGGAAGUCCUGGUGUAGCGGUGAAAUGCGUAGAUAUCGGGAGGAACACCAGCGGCGAAGGCGGCUUCUGGACCAAUACUGACGCUGAGACGCGAAAGCGUGGGGAGCAAACAGG